AUAAAGUAGAUUUUUUGGCUGAAUGUCCUGCCGGUUGAGGAGAACAUUCGUCUGAAGUAUUUCCCUCAUCUCAUACUGCAAUAAACAUAGCAAAGCAAUAAAUUAGUAUCUUUUAUAUAUCAAAAUGUGUAGUGUAUUUUGAGCAUUACAAAUAUUAUUAAACAAUUAAAUUUAAAAAAAGAUGAGAUAAGAGAUAAUUUACAACCUUUUACAAUCAUCAUCCUUGUACAGAGAGUUGUUAAUUGAAAAAUAAUCAUAUAAACUACCUGGGCUAAUACCAAUAAUCAUAUAAACUACCAAGUGGGUUAAUACGAACUCCGUGAUCAAAAAAUUUUAAAUGACAAGAAUAGUAAGGCAAUAAUAAUCAGUUUCCUUAAAUAAGUAAACAUUUGUAUAAAUACCCAUUCAUACAAACAUAGUUGCACCUAUUAACAAGUAUGUAUGUUCAUAUAUAUAUACAUGAUACGUGCAUAAAUAGGUAUACACAUCGAUAUAUGCCUCCAUCCACAUACACAAAAUCUGAACGGAAUCCUAAAUACAAUCAGUAAAUAAAUACAAAUAUAACAUAAUGAUGGACUUUAUUAGAUCUGAAAUUAUGGAAACAACAAUAUUUCAAGCUCAAAAAUAUUACCAAAUAUUUAAGGGAAUACAGUGACAACUAUUGAUGCAACAUUAAUCUUGAUAUAGAUGGUUAAUAAUUUUUUUCCUAUUUAAACCUAACUCUAAAUUCAUUCACUUAUAAAUUAAACCCUAGAUCACUAUAAAUUAAACCUUGAUUAACAUAAAGAAAAAAAAAGGCAUUUAAUAGAAAAUUACAUGAUACAUAAUAUGAUGAAAAGUUAUGCUAGAUAAUUACAAUGAAGGAUUAAUAAAAUAUCACCUUGAUACACCUCUUAAGUCUCCUCCAAUGCCCAAACAAAUUUUCUAGUUCAAUGUGCCCAUCUAGUUAUUUGACUUUUUACUAACCAAUUUUUCCAAAUCUUUUACACUUGAUUUUGGUUCUAGACCUUUUACUAACCAAUUUUUCCAAAUCUUUUAUACUUGAUUUUGGUUUUACCAGGCAGAUCUAUAAGUAACCUUAAU
Molecule: long non-coding RNA, 1083 nt
Filed under: Amborella trichopoda
Lineage: Eukaryota; Viridiplantae; Streptophyta; Magnoliopsida; Amborellales; Amborellaceae
Description: long non-coding RNA (ATRI_LNC002274)
Source: RNAcentral